AUACGUAGGGGGCAAGCGUUGUCCGGAAUUAUUGGGCGUAAAGCGCGCGCAGGCGGCUUUGUAAGUCCGGUGUUUAAUCUUGGGGCUCAACCCCAAGUCGCACGGGAAACUGCAAGGCUUGAGUGCAGAAGAGGAAAGUGGAAUUCCACGUGUAGCGGUGAAAUGCGUAGAGAUGUGGAGGAACACCAGUGGCGAAGGCGACUUUCUGGGCUGUAACUGACGCUGAGGCGCGAAAGCGCGGGGAGCAAACAGGAUUAGAUACCCUGGUAGUCCACGCCGUAAACGAUGAGUGCUAGGUGUUAGGGGUUUCGAUGCCCUUAGUGCCGAAGUUAACACAUUAAGCACUCCGCCUGGGGAGUACGACCGCAAGGUUGAA
RNAcentral lists this ribosomal RNA (376 nucleotides) under uncultured bacterium. RNAcentral describes it as "bacterial SSU rRNA". It matches the Rfam family "Bacterial small subunit ribosomal RNA", at positions 523 to 898 of the family's 1533-position model. The record is from RNAcentral.